Molecule: ribosomal RNA, 1389 nt
Filed under: Limosilactobacillus reuteri
Lineage: Bacteria; Bacillati; Bacillota; Bacilli; Lactobacillales; Lactobacillaceae
Description: bacterial SSU rRNA
Rfam family: Bacterial small subunit ribosomal RNA
Source: RNAcentral
GAUUGAUGGUGCUUGCACCUGAUUGACGAUGGAUUACCAGUGAGUGGCGGACGGGUGAGUAACACGUAGGUAACCUGCCCCGGAGCGGGGGAUAACAUUUGGAAACAGAUGCUAAUACCGCAUAACAACAAAAGCCACAUGGCUUUUGUUUGAAAGAUGGCUUUGGCUAUCACUCUGGGAUGGACCUGCGGUGCAUUAGCUAGUUGGUAAGGUAACGGCUUACCAAGGCGAUGAUGCAUAGCCAAGUUGAGAGACUGAUCGGCCACAAUGGAACUGAGACACGGUCCAUACUCCUACGGGAGGCAGCAGUAGGGAAUCUUCCACAAUGGGCGCAAGCCUGAUGGAGCAACACCGCGUGAGUGAAGAAGGGUUUCGGCUCGUAAAGCUCUGUUGUUGGAGAAGAACGUGCGUGAGAGUAACUGUUCACGCAGUGACGGUAUCCAACCAGAAAGUCACGGCUAACUACGUGCCAGCAGCCGCGGUAAUACGUAGGUGGCAAGCGUUAUCCGGAUUUAUUGGGCGUAAAGCGAGCGCAGGCGGUUGCUUAGGUCUGAUGUGAAAGCCUUCGGCUUAACCGAAGAAGUGCAUCGGAAACCGGGCGACUUGAGUGCAGAAGAGGACAGUGGAACUCCAUGUGUAGCGGUGGAAUGCGUAGAUAUAUGGAAGAACACCAGUGGCGAAGGCGGCUGUCUGGUCUGCAACUGACGCUGAGGCUCGAAAGCAUGGGUAGCGAACAGGAUUAGAUACCCUGGUAGUCCAUGCCGUAAACGAUGAGUGCUAGGUGUUGGAGGGUUUCCGCCCUUCAGUGCCGGAGCUAACGCAUUAAGCACUCCGCCUGGGGAGUACGACCGCAAGGUUGAAACUCAAAGGAAUUGACGGGGGCCCGCACAAGCGGUGGAGCAUGUGGUUUAAUUCGAAGCUACGCGAAGAACCUUACCAGGUCUUGACAUCUUGCGCUAACCUUAGAGAUAAGGCGUUCCCUUCGGGGACGCAAUGACAGGUGGUGCAUGGUCGUCGUCAGCUCGUGUCGUGAGAUGUUGGGUUAAGUCCCGCAACGAGCGCAACCCUUGUUACUAGUUGCCAGCAUUAAGUUGGGCACUCUAGUGAGACUGCCGGUGACAAACCGGAGGAAGGUGGGGACGACGUCAGAUCAUCAUGCCCCUUAUGACCUGGGCUACACACGUGCUACAAUGGACGGUACAACGAGUCGCAAACUCGCGAGAGUAAGCUAAUCUCUUAAAGCCGUUCUCAGUUCGGACUGUAGGCUGCAACUCGCCUACACGAAGUCGGAAUCGCUAGUAAUCGCGGAUCAGCAUGCCGCGGUGAAUACGUUCCCGGGCCUUGUACACACCGCCCGUCACACCAUGGGAGUUUGUAACGCCCAAAGAA